CUUUACACAUGCAAGUCGAACGGCAGCACGGGAGCUUGCUCCUGGUGGCGAGUGGCGAACGGGUGAGUAAUACAUAGGAACAUACCCAGUAAUGGGGGAUAACGCCGAGAAAUCGGUGCUAAUACCGCAUACGCCCUACGGGGGAAAGCGGGGGAUCUUCGGACCUCGCGUUAUUGGAUUGGCCUAUGUCUGAUUAGCUAGUUGGUGAGGUAAAGGCUCACCAAGGCGACGAUCAGUAGCUGGUCUGAGAGGAUGAUCAGCCACACUGGAACUGAGACACGGUCCAGACUCCUACGGGAGGCAGCAGUGGGGAAUUUUGGACAAUGGGCGAAAGCCUGAUCAGCCAUUCCGCGUGAGUGAAGAAGGCCUUCGGGUUGUAAAGCUCUUUCGGCAGGAACGAAAUGGUUGCGGUUAAUGACCGCGACUU
This 427-nucleotide ribosomal RNA is filed under the name uncultured Methylophilaceae bacterium. RNAcentral's name for it is "bacterial SSU rRNA". It matches the Rfam family "Bacterial small subunit ribosomal RNA", at positions 47 to 475 of the family's 1533-position model. The record is from RNAcentral. Lineage: Bacteria; Pseudomonadati; Pseudomonadota; Betaproteobacteria; Nitrosomonadales; Methylophilaceae.